GACGAACGCUGGCGGCGUGCUUAACACAUGCAAGUCGAACGGAAAGGCCCUGCUUUUGUGGUGUGCUCGAGUGGCGAACGGGUGAGUAACACGUGAGUAACCUGCCCUUGACUUUGGGAUAACUUCAGGAAACUGGGGCUAAUACCGGAUAGGAGCUCCUGCUGCAUGGUGGGGGUUGGAAAGUUUCGGCGGGUGGGGAUGGACGCGCGGCUUAUCAGCUUGUUGGUGGGGUAGUGGCUUACCAAGGCUUUGACGGGUCGCCGGCCUGAGAGGGUGACCGGCGACAUUGGGACUGAGAUACGGACCAGACUCCUACGGUAGGCAGCAGUGGGGAAUAUUGCACAAUGGGCGGAAGCCUGAUGCAGCAACGCCGCGUGCGGGAUGACGGCCUGCGGGUUGUAAACCGCUUUCGCCUGUGACGAAGCGUGAGUGACGGUAAUGGGUAAAGAAGCACCGGCUAACUACGUG
RNAcentral lists this ribosomal RNA (468 nucleotides) under uncultured bacterium. RNAcentral describes it as "partial 16S ribosomal RNA". It matches the Rfam family "Bacterial small subunit ribosomal RNA", at positions 28 to 507 of the family's 1533-position model. The record is from RNAcentral.